UACGGGGGGGGCAAGCGUUGUUCGGAAUUACUGGGCGUAAAGGGCGCGUAGGUGGCCAACUAAGUCAGACGUGAAAUCCCUCGGCUUAACCGGGGAACUGCGUCUGAUACUGGAUGGCUCGAGUGUGGGAGAGGGAUGCGGAAUUCCAGGUGUAGCGGUGAAAUGCGUAGAUAUCUGGAGGAACACCGGUGGCGAAGGCGGCAUCCUGGACCAUGACUGACACUGAAACGCGAAAGCCAGGGGAGCAAACGGG
This 253-nucleotide ribosomal RNA is filed under the name uncultured bacterium. Its description in RNAcentral is "partial 16S ribosomal RNA". It matches the Rfam family "Bacterial small subunit ribosomal RNA", at positions 524 to 776 of the family's 1533-position model. The record is from RNAcentral.